Molecule: long non-coding RNA, 753 nt
Filed under: Ananas comosus (pineapple)
Lineage: Eukaryota; Viridiplantae; Streptophyta; Magnoliopsida; Poales; Bromeliaceae
Description: long non-coding RNA (ACOM_LNC031469)
Source: RNAcentral
GCCGCCGCCGCCGCACUCGUGCUCGCCCUCGCCGCCGCCGCCGCCACGCUCGCAUUCGCCUACCUCUACUACCAGCCCCACCUCCCCUCCUUCCUCCUCCUCUCCGUCUCACCCCACCGCGCCCGGAUCUUCCCCCGAUCCCUCCACCCGCGCCGCUGCCGCCACUCGCGCAGUUGCCGCUGUCACAUCCCACCUUCUCCGCUCCGCUGCCGCCACCGCCGGGGGCCCGCAUCCUAUAUAAUGUCGCGGCCGCCACCCACGCCGCUGCUGCCACCCGCGCCGUAGCUGCUGCCGCAUCCAACUUUCUCCGCUCCGCUACGCCACACUCCGCUACCGCCAGGGGCCUGCAUCCCACCUUCUUCGUAGGGCUUCAAGGAGGAGGAGGAGAAAGAAGGAGGAAGAAGAGGAAGAAAAAAAAUAGUAUAAAUUGAGGGAAGAAGAAAAAAAAAAUGUAAAUUUCACCUAAACGGUGUAAAAUUUGGCAAAAUGGUACAAAAUUGAGCGAAAAAUUGGGCCAAUUUUGAUGAGAAUUGCACAAUUUUGCACCAUUUUGCCCAAUUUUGCACUAUUUCGUUCAAAAUUGUAUAAUUUUUCCUUCUCCUCAUCUUCCUCUUCCUCUUCCUUCUUCCUUUUUACAUCACUAGUCAACUCACGUGCGAUGCACGUGUAAGAAACUUGAACAAUUUAUAAAAUAUAUUUAUUUUUAUAAAUCAAAUUAUUUGAACGAUAUAUUUAGAUUUAGAAUUUGGAUAU